Molecule: RNA transcript, 6079 nt
Organism: Cornus florida
Lineage: Eukaryota; Viridiplantae; Streptophyta; Magnoliopsida; Cornales; Cornaceae
Gene name: serine/arginine-rich splicing factor SC35-like
Exons: 10
Source: RefSeq, a predicted model, not a curated record
UCAUCUACAACUUCAAGCAGCAUAUAUUCCCACCUUAUUCGUAACCCUAGCACAAACCCUAGACGGCCAUCUCUCUCUCUCUAACGAGAAAAAGAUGUCGCACUUUGGAAGAUCUGGUCCUCCAGACAUCAAAGACACCUACUCUCUCCUCGUCCUCAACAUCACUUUCCGAACUACUGCCGAUGAUCUGUUCCCCCUUUUCGAUAAGUAUGGGAAGGUCGUUGAUGUCUUCAUCCCCAGGGACAGAAGGACUGGUGAUUCGCGAGGGUUUGCUUUUGUUCGGUAUAAGUAUGGGGACGAGGCCCAGAAAGCUGUUGAGAAGCUAGAUGGGCGAAUUGUUGAUGGCAGAGAGAUAAUGGUUCAGUUUGCGAAGUACGGACCUAAUGCUGAACGAAUUCACAAAGGGAGGGUAAUGGAACCAGUAUCAAGGUCAAAAGGCGGAAGGUCAAGAAGCCGUAGUCCUCGGCCGAGGUCUAGGGGUGAACUAAGGGACAGGGAUUCCAGGAGGAGAAGUCGCAGCAGAAGUAGGGAUAGAUAUGACCGUGAGCGGCAUAGGGGAAAGGAAAGAGAUUAUCGUCAUCGUAGCAGGAGCCGUAGUGGAAGUCCUGUUUAUCACAAAAACCGUGGAAGAGGCAGAUAUGAUGAUGAGAGGCGUAGCCGGAGUCGGUCUUAUGGAAGUGCCUCCCCUGCCCGGCGUAGCCCGAGUCCUCGGAGGAGCCCAUCUCCACGCAGGACUCCUCCUUCUAGGGAUGUAAGUCCUGUGGGACGCAAUCACAAAGAACGCUCACCUACUCCAAAAAGUGUAUCACCACGUGGUCGACCUGCUGAUUCUCGAAGCCGAUCUCCACGUAAUUCUGAUGCUGAUGAGUAAGAGAGCACCAGACCAUGGGAUGCAGAAUUGACCUAAAUGUAUCAUGUUUGGCUGCAUUCCUUCUUUUGGGGACAUUUUCAGAUUUGCCAGUAUGAUGAAUGCUAGAAUUGAUUGCUGUAGGCGGAUUUCUAAGUUGUGCCCGGGAAGAGUGGUUAUGGCUGACUGGCGAGAUGAUGUAGCAGCUGUUGAUGCUGUCUUUACUCUGCUGUCGGUUGAUAUCAUUCUCUUGCUGGUUGCAAAGUACAGUGUCUUUACAAAUUGACACUGAUGAUCAUGAUUGGUAAGGGUUAGAAUACUCGGAUAUAUUGAGGUCACUUGGGAUUAUGACUUCUGACUUGAUCAUCUUUCCUGUGAUUUUUGCUAACUCUAGAUUUUGCCAUUUUGGGCCUAGAAAGGAAUAUUAUUUGCUAUGAUGAUCUCAAAGGUAGCUGAUGCAGUUAUCUGCUGGACCAGAUGUUCAGCUAUGUAUAUUCUAAUAUGAAACCUGCUAUGCUGUACAUCGUUACAAUGAGGUUGGAUGUGGCGACGAAUACAUAGCCACUUGUUUAUUCCAGUUUUCGCAAAAAAAUCGUGGCUGUAGCUGUAAAAUGAUAGCUGAUAUCUUUGUAGAUCGGUUGUUGCUGCACUUGUUGCUGAUAACUAUCGAAUCUGAUGCUACUGUUUUUGGUGUUGAUGAGUGAUGCUUGGUAUGGUAGCUGUGUUGCAGCUGGCUCCAGUAGAUGUGGUUUCUUUCUUUGCGUUCCAGUUGCAAAUGCAGAGGUUGAGUUUUAGUUUUGGUUUGCAUUUUCUUAGAAUAUAUUUUUGCAGUUACACCCUAUUUCCCAUUAAUUUAUGUGAAUUUCUUGCUGGUUGAAUUAUACUUCUAUGAUUUAUUCUUAUUAGUUGCAUUGUGUUAGAAUUUUGUUUGAAAAUAUAAUUGUUCAUAAAACCAUUAUACUGUGUUUCUUUUGUUAAAUUAUUACUUCAGUAUCUGUGAUGUGCGCUUGUUGAACGCUCUUUCGCAUAGGAACUCCAUUUAAGCCAUAAAAUAAAAUAAAUAUAUUAAAAAAUGUUGUUAUUAACUGCCCUUAGAUUUUGGGAUUUCAUAAAUCCUAUGCUAAAACACAUACCCACACAUACCACGAGUUCAUAGAAGCAGGUGGAUGCUAUAUAGCUAUCUUUGGAGCUGAUUUCCUCGUCCAUUCUUACGAUUUAUACGUGAUAGUGUUUGGCAAGGUUUUUGGUUCAUCUUUUAUGUUGCAAAGUCAAAUGGAAGUCCUUUUUGUAUUAGGGCAUUACAUCUGCAUUCCAUUGCCAGCUUUUCUUACUGGUUCAGAUUAAGUCUAAUUUAAAAGUAUGAAUCGUAUUCCUUUUGUUACUAUUUUUGUAGUGGAUGGUGAAAAUGUUGGAACUUAUGUCUUCAACUUGGUGAUUUUAAAGGAAAAAGAAAUUGUGACUGGUAUGUUAGUGCUUGAAAUGAUUAUGGCUUUGCUUUAAAGUCGCAAUACGGGAAUGCCUUGUUUGCACAUGGCUUUAAGUUCCGAUGUUGGAGUCAGUUCUAUCACACUUUACUUUCAAUAUCUGGACAUUGUUUUCUUUGGGUUUGCUUCCCUCCGAGUGCUUUCUUAAUGAAAUUUUACUUAAAUAUAUUAAAAAAAAUUAUAUAGGCAUUGCUUUUAAGUCCUCUUGCAAAUUCUAGGCUUGACCAGUGUUGUCGAAGGCGCGCAUAGUGUCCAGGCUCGUUAAGGCGCAGUAUUUGUUUCUGUUGCGUCCCCAAGUGUGCCUUUGACAAUACUUGAACCAUUAAUAGGAAAUAUGAACCAUUAAUAGGAAAUAUUUUGGUAACACUGGGCUUGGCUGAUACUUAAAAGCAGUCAAGACCAGCAUGAAGCAUUGAAGGCUAAAUUUGUGGUCAGAUCCUCUAUCAGUGGAGCGCCUGGAAUUUCAUUCCAUUAGUCUUUCUUUCUCUGAAGUAUUAGUUGUUGGGCAUGGCUGCUUUUUGUGGUUUUUUUUUUUUCCAUUGCUUUUUGUGGUUUAUGAGUUCUGAGAUACACUACUGCACUACCUUUCCUGUUAUGCUUCUUUUAGGCUGAUUUGCAGUUUUUUACCUUUUUAUUUAUUGAUAAUUAGUGGUUUUGUUGUUGAGGGAGGGUAAUAGGAGAGGUUUCAUCAUUAUCACUUGCACAAUUUCACCAUGUGGUGGUUGUAGGGAAUUUAUAUUAUUAAUAUUGUUGCAUGGAUUGGACUUAUAAAAAAAAAAUAUAUAUAUUGUUGCAUGGAUUGGAGAAAUUUUUGGGAAAAAAUUGGAUCAAUUUCAUAAUUAGAUUUAGAUAAGAUCUUAAAGUGUUUAUAUCCUAGCUUCAUAAAUGGAGGUUGAGUUGUAUGUGGAUCUACAUUUCUGCAAUCUGUUACUUACUUAUUUUCUUGAGGUCUAACUUUUGAGCCAUUCAGUGGUACAUGGGCGAUGGAAAAUGAUUGAAACAAGUCUCCGUGGGACUAUCCUUUUAGAAAUCGUUUGGAGUGGAAAAUCAUCAUAUAUGAUAGCUGAAGUUGAAUGUUCUUGUUUAUCAAGGCUAAGGAUCCAACUUUAUAUUAUAUUUAACAUAAGAUAUAAAAUUUGAAAUUUAGGUUUGUGUUCCAACUCAGUUUUGUAACAAACUUUUGAGGAUAAGAUUAGUCAAUAAUUAGUGAAGUUUUUGGUUGCAUCAUCAACCUUGUACUCCUAGCUUUUAAAAGAGGAGAGCGGUGCUAAAUGUAGAGCAGUCUAUAGGAUAUGGUAAUGUUUUACCUGUUAGAUUCUGCCUGUUUUGACUUCUAUCUAUAUGUUAUUAUUCUUCAAGCUUAGACAUGUUAGCAACUUGAAAUGACAGGUGAAGGAUUAGAAUAUUUUUAGAACAUUAAGUUUCCUGCUUCUGUUCUGUUAUGCAAUUUAACGGACAGUUCAAUUUCCAUAUGAGGCAUUGGCUAGAGAAAGUGCACGUUGAAAAGAAUGGUUGCCAGUCCACCGGCUAGCAUAAUGAUGAUUAGGGUUGUAGCAGGAUCUUUCAAACUUUCCUUUGUUCAAUAGGUCCUUCCCCAACUUCCGUCUUAGAGACAAAGUAUACCCAUCAUCCUAGAGGAGCGUCACUAGAUCCCUGUAUACCGUCCUUUUCGAAACCACUCCCAUAGGGAUGUGGGUCUAUUAUUAACUUAUAAUUUAAACUAUUACAUUAGAUUAAAACUAUGGUAACUUUAAAUAUAUUAGUUAAAUUUAGUUUAUUACAUUAAUUAAUAAGAUAUAAAUUUAUUAAAUUAAUAUAAGUUGAAGGGAAAUACGGUCAUUGCAACAAAUACAUUUAUAUAUUUUGGGGUGUGGAGUAUCAGAUAACUAUUGUGAGGUAGUACAUAUGAGUUCAUUUGGUAUUUGUUUGGGUUUUCAUUAAUAAUGGUGAGUAGCAACCUGUGCCAGUACUAUAUGACCUUUGAAAACUAAGGAUUAAAGGUUGAGUGAUUUGUUGUAUUUUAUCAUGAUAGAUAUGAAUCCAGUUAUUAACUGUGUAUUAAUCGUGUACCAAUGCAUAGUGUGUGUGUUUUUUUUUCCUCCUCUAUUUUUGUUUUAACUGUCCUUAAUUAGUGAUUGAUGUGGUUGUUAUUUGUUAUAUGAUCACUUGUUUUAAAAUUUUCAUUAAAAAUGUUUUCCAUGGAUCACAAUUAGUUUUAUUUUAUUCGAUAAACUAGUGAUGGCAGUCAUUUCCUUCAAUUAUUUUAAUUUUGCAUACAUUUGGUCUCAUUUUUUCUUUUUAUUUUUCUUUUUUCAUUGGCAUUUGGAGUAAUAAUGAUAGCACUCCUCUUCACGUUAGUGAAAUCAGUGCAACAUUACUUGUAAUAAAUUAAUUGUACAUUACUUGUGAAAAAAAAUAAAUUAAUUGUACAUUAAAUUUCCUGUAGAAAGAUUGAAAGCACGUGGCCCGGUAAACCUGUGUAGUAGAUUGAUCAAAUAAAAUUCCUAAAAACUAAUGAAAGUAGUGUCAAGUUUUUUUUUUUUAAUGGGUUUUGGCAUAGCUCUAUUAUUAAUAUUGUUUUAAACUUCGUAAAAAUAUGUGAUGUGCUACAAAUGUGUUUGAUGAUAUAGAUUGAUGAUACGUGGACGUUUGAGCUUCAUUAGAACCAAACUAUAGGAAUGUAUAUCUUAGGAUGUGAUUGGCGAAUUAUAUAUAUAUAUCUAUCUAUCUAUCUGGCCAUGCAAUGCGAAAAUUCUAAACUUGCAAUGAAUCAAUCCCAUUCAAAAUAAAGGAAGCCUUCAAUUAUUGAGCACCAAAAUUGGAACACAAAUAAUGUAACGUAAACCAAAAUUUGAUCCCGGUAUUGAAGCCGUGUUGUUCAGGCUCUGGUUUUAGGUGUUCGGUUCUCGUCUUUUUGUUUCUGCACUAUGGGUUCGUCGUUGCGGUGGUUCUUUUGUUUGGGCCUUCUGUCUCCUUCCCGUCGGCCGUUGCAACUCCAGCCUUACCGGUCCUCCGAUCUAGAGUUUCUCGAUCCCUUUUAGGUUUGUUCUUGGCCCUGUUCUCCCUUUGGCGAUUUCGUUUGGCCUUGAAUUUCGGUUUCAAAUCCCUUUGUGGGAUAAUUUUCCUUUGAUGCCGUUUGUCGGUGUCUAUUGUGUCUGGUGCUUCCCGAUGAUGGUGGUGUUUUCCGCCGAGUACGUCUUGCUGCCGUCGUGCCUUUGGCGUCUGGUUCACGCGCGGUGUGCUGUGAUGGGUCCGGGUCCGGCUUCUGGGUCUUGUGGUUGGGUUGCUCUUCUUGCUGCCGGCUUGCUGACUUUUUGGCCGCUUUCUGGGCUUCCAUUUCCGGCGAGUUCUAUUGUGUUGGGUCCAUCGUGGACGGCCACGUCCCGUCUUGGGUUUGCUAUGUGUGGCGCUGCAAUUAAGACACGUCGUUCCCACCACUUUCUGGCGCUUGUAUUUGUUGUUGUGUGGCUGUUGGUACACCUUGGGUAUUUGCCUCUCACCCGCCACGUCUUGUGUAAUUUGGUGGGCCAUGUGUCCCUAACCAAUGCUCAUGUUUUGUUGUGUUUUGUAGUCUUCUUGUUUUCGUGUCGGUGGUUGACCCCACCUUUGUACCUGGGUUGGGGCUUGUGCCUUGUGGUGUGGUUGUCUUUUGUGGAUCUGUUUAUUGUAAAUGCCGUAGGAAGAAUGUUUGGGGCACCAGAAUUGAACUGAACAUCUCUUUUAAUAUUAAUAAUUAAUAUUUAGGUAA